CUGUUGGCGCAGUGGCAGUAUCAUAGCCCAUGAGGUUAAACUGAGGCGUGAUUAUUGCUAGUUGAAAACUUUUCCAAACUUUA
RNAcentral lists this small nuclear RNA (83 nucleotides) under Sphenodon punctatus (tuatara). RNAcentral describes it as "U4 spliceosomal RNA (ENSSPUG00000013937.1)". It matches the Rfam family "U4 spliceosomal RNA", at positions 1 to 82 of the family's 138-position model. Rfam says of the family: U4 small nuclear RNA (U4 snRNA) is a component of the major U2-dependent spliceosome. The structure of U4 snRNA from yeast and human has been reported. U4 snRNA presents a k-turn RNA motif in the 5p-SL related to recognition of Snu13 protein. The record is from RNAcentral. Lineage: Eukaryota; Metazoa; Chordata; Lepidosauria; Sphenodontia; Sphenodontidae.